This 225-nucleotide ribosomal RNA is filed under the name uncultured bacterium. Its description in RNAcentral is "partial 16S ribosomal RNA". It matches the Rfam family "Bacterial small subunit ribosomal RNA", at positions 524 to 750 of the family's 1533-position model. The record is from RNAcentral.
UACGAAGGGGGCUAGCGUUGCUCGGAAUCACUGGGCGUAAAGGGUGCGUAGGCGGGUCUUUAAGUCAGGGGUGAAAUCCUGGAGCUCAACUCCAGAACUGCCUUUGAUACUGAGACUUGAGUUCGGGAGAGGUGAGUGGAACUGCGAGUGUAGAGGUGAAAUUCGUAGAUAUUCGCAAGAACACCAGUGGCGAAGGCGGCUCACUGGCCCGGUACUGACGCUGAG